AGCUUCUCCUGUGGCACCAUGAAGCCCUUGAUAGCUCUGACUAGCUUCACCUGGCACCUCCUCUGCCCAUGAGCCUGGCCUGGGCAGUACUAUGGGCAUGCCACUGCCCCCGUCUCCUGAUGUAGGUGUUGAUUUCAGCUUUGGGGACACUGUGUGGUCACAGAUGUGUGGUCCCCAUGGAUGCCUGCCUGCUCAGCCAGGGGCAUCAUUGCGUUGGGCAAGCUGUGGCCUGGGCAGCGACAGUGGUGUCAGAGGACCCAUGGUGGAGCUUUGGAGCUGGACAGUGAAGGUGCCCCAAACUCCACCAAAUGCUGUGGUCAGAUCAGAAGCAUGGGUCACUCAGCCAGAGGGUGGUGUCAUCAUUGCAUAA
Molecule: long non-coding RNA, 370 nt
Filed under: Anser brachyrhynchus (Pink-footed goose)
Lineage: Eukaryota; Metazoa; Chordata; Aves; Anseriformes; Anatidae
Description: lncRNA (ENSABRG00000014000.1)
Source: RNAcentral